GAUGAACGCUGGCGGCGUGCCUAAUACAUGCAAGUCGAGCGAACGGACGAGAAGCUUGCUUUUCUGAUGUUAGCGGCGGACGGGUGAGUAACACGUGGAUAACCUACCUAUAAGACUGGGAUAACUUCGGGAAACCGGAGCUAAUACCGGAUAAUAUUUUGAACCGCAUGGUUCAAAAGUGAAGGACGGUCUUGCUGUCACUUAUAGAUGGAUCCGCGCUGCAUUAGCUAGUUGGUAAGGUAACGGCUUACCAAGGCAACGAUGCAUAGCCGACCUGAGAGGGUGAUCGGCCACACUGGAACUGAGACACGGUCCAGACUCCUACGGGAGGCAGCAGUAGGGAAUCUUCCGCAAUGGGCGAAAGCCUGACGGAGCAACGCCGCGUGAGUGAUGAAGGUCUUCGGAUCGUAAAACUCUGUUAUUAGGGAAGAACAUAUGUGUAAGUGACUGUGCACAUCUUGACGGUACCUAAUCAGAAAGCCACGGCUAACUACGUG
RNAcentral lists this ribosomal RNA (497 nucleotides) under uncultured bacterium. Its description in RNAcentral is "partial 16S ribosomal RNA". It matches the Rfam family "Bacterial small subunit ribosomal RNA", at positions 28 to 507 of the family's 1533-position model. The record is from RNAcentral.